Non-coding RNA from Ornithorhynchus anatinus (platypus), 138 nucleotides. NCBI's taxonomy places the organism in Eukaryota, Metazoa, Chordata, Mammalia, Monotremata, Ornithorhynchidae. The record is from Rfam.
UCCUUCUCAGGUUCACCCCUGGAGAGUUUCCAGUAUUCUACCAGUUUCGGCUACAGGAGGAAGAGUCAAGCAGAGGCCUACCCAUUCCAUUCCUAGCUUGGCCAGUGGCUAAUGAGUGGAAGGCCAUCCGCUACAAGU